GGGCCCGAGUUGUAAUUUGUAGAGGGAGUUUCGGAGGCGGCGCCGGCUUAAGUUCCUUGGAACAGGGCGUCACAGAGGGUGAGAAUCCCGUACGUGGCCGGCGGUCAAUUCCAUGCGAAACCCCUUCGACGAGUCGAGUUGUUUGGGAAUGCAGCUCAAAAUGGGUGGUAAAUUUCAUCUAAAGCUAAAUACUGGCCAGAGACCGAUAGCGCACAAGUAGAGUGAUCGAAAGAUGAAAAGCACUUUGGAAAGAGAGUUAAACAGUACGUGAAAUUGUUGAAAGGGAAGCGCUUGCGACCAGACUUGCUCGCGGGUGAUCAGCCUCCCUUCGGGGGGGUGCACUCGCCCGUGAUCAGGCCAGCAUCGGUUUGGGCGGGCGGAUAAAGUUCCCAGGAAUGUAGCUCCCCUCGGAGAGUCUUAUAGCCUGGGGUGCAAUGCGCCCAGCCGGGACCGAGGACCGCGCUUCGGCUAGGAUGCUGGCGUAAUGGUCGUAAGCGACCCGUCUUGAAACACGGACCAAGGAGUCUAACAUCUAUGCGAGUGUUUGGGUGUCAAAACCCACGCGCGGAAUGAAAGUGAACGGAGGUGGGAGCCCUUCCGGGGGCGCACCAUCGACCGAUCCUGAUGUCUUCGGAUGGAUUUGAGUAGGAGCAUCGCUGUUGGGACCCGAAAGAUGGUGAACUAUGCGUGAAUAGGGUGAAGCCAGAGGAAACUCUGGUGGAGGCUCGCAGCGGUUCUGACGUGCAAAUCGAUCGUCAAAUUUGCGUAUAGGGGCGAAAGGUCAGUCAGAGUUCUCGUGUCCGGUGGUGGUGAGUCAAUGCUAACAUUGUACAGACUAAUCGAACCAU
RNAcentral lists this ribosomal RNA (848 nucleotides) under Aspicilia epiglypta. RNAcentral describes it as "LSU rRNA". It matches the Rfam family "Eukaryotic large subunit ribosomal RNA", at positions 134 to 943 of the family's 3401-position model. Lineage: Eukaryota; Fungi; Ascomycota; Lecanoromycetes; Pertusariales; Megasporaceae. The record is from RNAcentral.